UCUUUAGUUGCCAUCAUUAAGUUGGGCACUCUAGAGAGACUGCCAGGGAUAACCUGGAGGAAGGUGGGGAUGACGUCAAAUCAUCAUGCCCCUUAUGCUUAGGGCUACACACGUGCUACAAUGGGUAGUACAGAGGGUUGCCAAGCCGUAAGGUGGAGCUAAUCCCUUAAAGCUACUCUCAGUUCGGAUUGUAGGCUGAAACUCGCCUACAUGAAGCUGGAGUUACUAGUAAUCGCAGAUCAGAAUGCUGCGGUGAAUGCGUUCCCGGGUCUUGUACACACCGCCCGUCACACCACGGGAGUUGGAGACGCCCGAAGCCGAUUAUCUAACCUUUUGGAAGAAGUCGUCGAAGGUGGAAUCAAUAACUGGGGUGAAGUCGUAACAAGGUAGCCGUAUCGGAAGGUGCGGCUGGAUCACCUCCUUUCUAAGGA
Molecule: ribosomal RNA, 431 nt
Filed under: Clostridioides difficile
Lineage: Bacteria; Bacillati; Bacillota; Clostridia; Peptostreptococcales; Peptostreptococcaceae
Description: bacterial SSU rRNA
Rfam family: Bacterial small subunit ribosomal RNA
Source: RNAcentral